AUACGGAAGAUCCGGGCGUUAUCCGGAUUUAUUGGGUUUAAAGGGAGCGCAGGCGGAGAUGCAAGCGUGACGUCAAAUUUCGGGGCUCAACCCCGUCUCGCGUCGCGAACUGCGUCCCUUGGUUGCGGGAAGGGGAGGCGGAACUCGUGGUGUAGCGGUGAAAUGCAUAGAUAUCACGAAGAACUCCGAUCGCGAAGGCAGCCUUCCGGCCCGUCAACGACGCUCAUGCUCGAAGGUGCGGGUAUCAAACAGGAUUAGAUACCCUGGUAGUCCGCACAGUAAACGAUGGACACCCGCGGUUUGGCCUGUAUGGCUGAGCCGCCAAGCGAAAGCGUUAAGUGUCCCACCUGGGGAGUACGCCGGCAACGGUGAAACUCAAAUGAAUUGACGGGG
This 393-nucleotide ribosomal RNA is filed under the name uncultured bacterium. RNAcentral describes it as "partial 16S ribosomal RNA". It matches the Rfam family "Bacterial small subunit ribosomal RNA", at positions 523 to 918 of the family's 1533-position model. The record is from RNAcentral.